This 253-nucleotide ribosomal RNA is filed under the name uncultured bacterium. Its description in RNAcentral is "partial 16S ribosomal RNA". It matches the Rfam family "Bacterial small subunit ribosomal RNA", at positions 524 to 776 of the family's 1533-position model. The record is from RNAcentral.
UACGGGGGGAGCAAGCGUUGUUCGGAUUUACUGGGCGUAAAGGGCGCGUAGGCGGUAGCACAAGGCAGUUGUGAAAUCUCCGAGCUUAACUCGGAAAGGUCAACUGAUACUGUGCGGCUAGAGUGCAGAAGGGGCAACUGGAAUUCUUGGUGUAGCGGUGAAAUGCGUAGAUAUCAAGAGGAACACCUGCGGCGAAGGCGGGUUGCUGGGCUGACACUGACGCUGAGGCGCGAAAGCUAGGGGAGCGAACGGG